CUUGCACAGGAAGAUUUAACUGUGAAGAACCUGCUGCGAUGUGUACAUCUAUAAGGGACGUUUGUCUUUCUGUGAACAUAAUUAUUGAAAAUAAAGGUAAGUGUACUUCAAGAUUCCGUUAGUAAAUCUGUAUAUUUUAUUAUUGCAAGAUCAGUAACAUAAGCAAUGAGACUAAGUAAAGCUCUAUAUGUCUGUCAUCCUUAGACCCCAUUUCUGGUGAAUUAAGUUUUAUUGAAUUCUCCAGCCUGACCAUAAUCUAGAUUACUUCUAACUGUUCUGCUUUACACCCCACCAUCAAAUAUUUGUGGUUUUUUGACCUCGAAAAUUAUACUUAGUUUCUAUGAAACCCAAAGUGUCAGUUCUGCUAAAACACUGUGCUUGUUAUUAAUGUGUCAUGGCAUUCAAUCCUACUGUCCUACAUUGUGUAGUCUUCCUCUAGAUUGUUUUAUUUGCUAGAGGACCCAUUGUGCCUUUCAGGUGUGCUAGGGCUUACAAUUCAUAGGGAUGUGUUUAUUAUUAUUAUUAUCACUGCCCCUUAAACUAUGGAACACAUAAUUGUUCAAAAUGGAGGACCUAGCAAAAAGCAAGGAUUUUUCAUGGAAUUGACAUGGAAAUGUUAUGACAUAGUGUGUAAAGCAAAAAGAAUGUAAAGUCUGUUCCACAUUCACACCAAAAUACAAAAAGCAUGGACAAAGCAAGCACUGUGCGUUUUAUGUCAAAAUCCAAGGGCUCAUCCCAACCUGGUCAGUAAAUAUCUGCUUUAAACUGUUACUACUGGCAACAGCUGGUAGCUAGCUAUUACUAGAUACUAAUUAUCUGUAAACCUGUAAAAGAUACUAAUUAUCUGCAAACCUCUAAAAGAUAUCAAUUACCCGUAAACCUGUCAAAUACUGUCUCCCAUCUUUUUGCUGAUUUAUAAACUUGCUGCUAAUUUUUAAUGGCUAAACGCUACUUUUAACGAACAGUGUUUCUUUACAAAUUUCACAGUAACGGCAGGGAGUUACCAGCUCAGAUAAGGGCUCCCAUUAUUCUUUACGGGAGCCUCUACCCUCUACUUAGUGAAUGGUUUCUGACUGGUUACCAACCCAGUCACUACUCAUUAUUACCUGCUGCUAACCCAAAUAUCUUACCAUCAACCUUAGAGCAUAUUAAACCUUAUCAAAGAGAAAUAAAAUAGAUCAGCAUGCCACGCACAACUUCAAAAAUAAUAUUAAUCUUUACAUAACUAAAGUGCGUGCGUCAAUUUGAAAGCUUCACCGGCAUAAAAACGCAUCCAUAUACAUGAACAUCCACCCAAAAAUUAAAGCAAGAAUUAGGACCCACAGGAAUAUCGUACACACGAAUACAGAGGACAACAGGUGUUCAUAGAAUUGUCUAACAACUCCUUAAGUUCGGUUCAAAACAAAACGUAAACAAAAGCUUGAAUUUGCACUUUAUGUCUGUUCAACAAUAAUUCACCUCUUUUAUAUUAAGUGCACCCACACUUGUUAUAUAUCAUUUUGUUCAGGAGAAACAGGGCUUUCAUUUCAUAUCAACUAUCAACUAUACAUGAAAAGAUUUAUUGUAAACAAAAUCUUAAAAAAGUAUGACCCAGGAAUGAGAAAAAGCCCAUGAUGACAUGCCAUUAGCAAAAGUAGAGAACCCAGGGUAUUCAAUAUGGGGUAUGUCCAGUAUUUUUAAGUAGCCACUUAAUUAUAAACACUAGCCAAAGUUAGCAUUCAUAUUUGGUUUUGUGUGAAAAAUGCAAAAAACAAUUAUGAACUCUAACUUUGGCUAAGUGGCUACUAAAAAAGACUGGACAUGCCCCACUUGCAAUACAUUGGGUUGUCUACUUUUGCAAAUGGUAUGCCAUCAUGGGGGUCAUUUUCAUUCCUGGGCUACCAUAAGGUCUCAAAGGCAACAUGACCAGUCUUGCAAAUUUCAAUGUGUAUAAACAUUAUGAAAAAUGUACCGUGUACCACUAUAAAACCUGUACAUGGGGGGUACUUUUGUACUCGGGAGACAUCGUUGAAUACAAGCAUGUGUACUAUAUUGCAGUAACAGCUAACAGUAUUAUGACAUUCACAGUUAAAAUGUCAUGCAGAACUAAAAAAAAUAAAUCAAGGGGGUGGAGCCUGACCGCUGAGCCGAGAAGACGCAGAAGAGGACUGCUUCUGCUCUUUCAGGCAAUAAUCGCCACAAACAGUGCAUAAAUGACCCAAAAGGGACACUAUUCUAGAAGUGAACUCACGGGGCACACACUGAUACCAAGUAUGCUGUCAUCCCUUCAGAAAUCACCAGUGUGACGCUUGCGGCCUACCAAAUGGGUGUACGUGUGGGAGACGACCGCUCCCUGGCUGCACCCAAAAGCAAGAAGCUGGCAACUGGGCCCUCGUUCCCCCCCUAUGGACCAGCAGGGGUUGUCCUGGUCCAGAAAUACCCCUACAGGCUCAGGGGAAGCAUCCUCAAUUGGCACCAGCCAAACCCAAAAUAGCGGCGGAUGCCGCUGGGCCAUGAGACACGACACAGAGGCCUGACAUUUUCGCAAGGCUGGAUGCCAUAUUCGCAGCCUUCUGGAGGAAACUGACAGAACGGCAUGCCUGGGCACAUACUUACCGAAGGCACCUUCCUCACGCCCCCAACCACAGGGCACACCUCACAGACAGAAGCGAACACGAAGAUAGCGCCGCCCACAGCGACACCUAUAGCAUGAGUACAUACCCACGUGGCUUCGACCACGGAAGACGACUCUGUCACGAAUAACCAAGCCACCUUCAUCCAAGCACACCACCAUGUCAAUGCUCAAAACAAGAUCCAGUGACUUGGGUGGCAAUAAUUCCCAGGACGGCUAACUAAGGCUGCACGACCGCUCACAAGCCUGGGGCCGGAGACAUCCCUCACCCUGCUACACUACAGCUGAUCCAAGCAUAAACUCUUCUACACACCACCUGCCCUUGAGGGCGACAGGGAUCAGCUGAUCUAAUAUGUGAGCACACAUCCAGAACUUUAAUCUGUAUAAGGGGGCGGCAGACUGAGGGUCAAGCUACAGCAGCAUAGUUAUUUUUUUUUGUUGUUCACCAAGUUCGUAUUAUAAGUUAUAUAUGCCUUUAUCAUGCCUACAUUAUCGUAUCGAAUCAGGCCCUAUGUUUGGCACAAUAGGGUGGAGUGCCUCAUCACUUCCUAGAUGCCUGUAGUGCUAACUGUAUAGCAUCUGGUUUAGCAAUUCAGCAUGCUACUAAUCUACGUCAGUCAUGUAACUUUAUUUCGUGUUAACACACCUCUUGCUAGUGUUACUCGCAUUUACUAAUCUCCUGACUUACUCAGCAUUACUCUUACAUUUAAAAAAUGUGCAGUUUAAUCCUGUCCCAAUGUUAUCAUCUUUAAAAGGUCUGUAACUGCUAUUGUGGCAUUGCAGACGUGUUUGUACCUCUUUUUGCACAAUAAAAAUAAAAAAUAAAAAAAAUAAAAUUAAAACAAUUUUUAAUUUCUCACAUAUUUUAAAAUAUUUUUGUUCCUAUUAAAUUAUGUUUAAUAUAUAAAUAUUUGAUUUAAAAUAAAAGCCCUGUUUCUCGUCAACAAAAUUAUAUAUAAUAAGUGUGAGCAUUUAAAAUGAAAGAGGUGAAUUAUGGUUGAACAACAUGAAGCGCAAAUUCCAGGUUUUGUUUACGUUUUGUUUUGAUCUCAACUUGUAAAACUACCUCCAUCCUUAAGGGGUUAAAUUCUAUCUGUAUCUUUACUGUAAGAAAUGAAGCUUUUUUAGUUAUGAAGGGUGCUAAUCAAAUUUAAAUCUCUUUAGUUGGAAAAACGGCACCUCAAAAGGGAUAUGAUAGCAUUAUACAAAUAUAUUCAGGUCCAGGGGUGGGCUGGGCCGGGGGGCAGGGAGACAAUUGCUCCCAGGCUGCCCUAAAUAAUUAGAAAAAUGGCCGCUGCAGCGCCUGUCCCUGGCUCCAGGAGGAGGCAGGUACCGCGCGGAGCAGGCCAAUGGCCUGUCACAGGGAGCCCAGCAGGUGGCCAACUGGCCAUCUAGGGCGCCCUGGUAGCAAGGCCUGCUUGUCCCAGAUGGCAGUUGCCUACUCUGCAGCAAUAUACUGGCUGCGUGAGGAAGGGGGCAGGCGGCGAUGAGGGAGCACUGCCUCUGCUGAUGAUCUUCCUGCUCCCUCGCGCGCCCUCUCUGGUGAUGCCGGGAGCCGGAAUAUGACGUCAUCACUAAACUGCGCGAGGGAGCAGAGUGGAGCAGGAAGAUCAUCGAAGACACUGGACCCCAGGGAGAGGCCCCAGAGAACUCUUAAAGGUAGGCGCAACAAUAAAUAAAAUUAAUUUGUGAGGGUGUGUCUGGAAGUGAUUGUGUGUGUCUGGAAGUGAGGGUGUGUGUGUCUGGAACAAGUGAGUGUGUGUGUGUGUCUGGAAGUGUGUGUGUGUGUCUGAAAGUGAGUGUGUUUGUGUGACAGUGUGUGUCUGGAAGUGUGAGUGUGUGUGUCUGGAAGUGAGUGUUUGUCUGUCAGUAAGUGUGUGUAUCUGUCUGUCAGUAAGUGUGUGUAUCUGUCUGUCAGUAAGUGUGUGUGUGUUUGUCAGUGUGUGUGUGUCUGGAAGUGUGUGCAUGUGUGUUUGGAAGUGAGUGUGUGUGUCUGAAAGUGAGUAUGUCUGUCAGUAAGUGUGUGUGUCUGUCAGUAAGUGUGUGUGUUUGUGUCUGGAAGUGUGUGUGUGUGUCUGUCAGGGCCGUCUUUCUGCAUGGACAUGCUGGGCAGUUGUCCGUGGGCCCCACAGGCAUGGGGGCCCUACCGCGCUGCCCAGCAUGCCCGGCCAACAGGGGACAUCCUUUGAUCUCCCCUGCCGGCCAAUGGAGAGGUGGCCCUGUUUUCUGGCCUUGGGCCGGUGAGGGAGUUCUCCCAUUAAUCGGGGAGAGAGGUAGCUAGGACCCAGGGCAGCAGGACAGGCCGACCUGUAAGGCAGGCCGCUCCUCCCACAAGCAGGGUGUGUGGAGCGUUGCCGCGCAUUACCAUGGCAAUGCUCCACACAGCACUCACUGCGUGCAGGAGGACAGAAGACAGCCUGCAGCCAGACAAGCUGCAGGUUGUACAGAAUUCACAACUGGACCACCAGGGCUGGCUGUGUCCCAGCCUCUUUCACCAAAGGUAAGAAGAAUGGUGGGGGGGGCAUAUAGAUUUUAUUUAAUGUAUAGUAGUAUUAAAAAAACAAAAAACAUUUGCUACCUGCACCCCUCAAAUACACACACAGCACCCAACACACAUAUAUCACUCCACACACAUGCAGCACCCCACUCACAUAGCACUCCACACAGCACCCCACACACAUCACACCAGUACACACAUACACUGCACCCCUCACUGCAGUGUGUGUGUAUUCAGCAGUCUGUGUGUGUGUUCAGCCGUCUGUGUGUAUGUUUGUGUGUGUUUGCAUUCAGCGGACUGUGUGUAUGUAUUCAGCACUCUCUAUGUGUACUUAGUAGUCUGUCUGUGAGUACUCAGCAGUCUGUCUUUGUGUGUCUAUUCAGCAGUCUGUAUGCGUGUAUUCAGCAGUCGUCAUGUGUAUGUAUUCUGCAGUCAGUGUGUGACUGUAUUCAGCAGUCUGUGUGUAUGUAUGCAUUGCAUUUGUUGGAGGUAUUUCUAAACAUAUUCUUCAUUGUAUCUAUAAUUUACAUUUUUAUUCCUGUAAGUUGUGUAGGCAGGGCCCCAGUGCACUGCUUUUCCUGGGGGCCCAUAAUGCUGUUAAGAUGGCACUGGUGUCUGUCAGUGUGUGUGCCAGUAAGUGUAUCUGUCAAGUAAGUGUCUUUCAGUGAAUGUGUGUAUCUGCCUGUCAGUGUGUGUGUGUGUAUGUGUCUGUCUGUCAGUGAGUGUUUGUCUGUCAGGGUUUGUGUGUGUGUGUUAUUGAGAGUGAGUGCCAGUGUGUCUGUCAGCAGGGCCAGCCUUUGAGGUGUGCAAGCUGUGUGGUCACGUAGGGCGCCAUGACAACAGACGUGCCUGGUGGCCAACACAGUACACAAGUUUGGGACACCAGCAUAUUUAAUUUAAACGAUUCCCUGGUGGUCCAUUGGUCCGCACCAGCAGUAGGUGCAGUCAGAUCAUAUCCUCUCCCUUGUGGUUCCGGUGCUCAGUUAGUGAGUCAGAGCACAGGCUCAGAGAUUCUCAGCCUGCGCUCUAACAACAUUGAAAGUUGGAGCCGCAAAGGAGUGGGUAUGGCAAAAGAGCUACUGAUUAGCAUAACAUCAAUAUCCUUUAUAAGACCAGGAAAAGGUGGGCAUGGAUGGUGAGCUGAUUUGGGGGUGCAAUGGGCCACUCGACUGGAUUUGCCCCCCAGGCCUGAGGCUGCCAGCCCUCCCCUUUCAGGGCCAAUACAAGCCAUUGUCUGGAAAUCUAUUCAUAAAUAGGGCUGUACAUAGGACAAGAGGUCACACAUUUAGACUGGAAGAAAUUAGAUUUAGUCUAAGGCAAAGGAAAGGUUUUUUUACAGUAAGAACAGUAAGGAUGUGAAAUUCUCUGCCUAAAAAAGGUGGUUUUAUCAAAAUCUUUACAUAUAUUUAAACAGAUAUUGGAUAAAUACCUGCAAAACAUUACAUACAGGGAUAUACAUUUUAAAUUAGUGAGGUAAUGGCUUCUUGAUCCAAUCCUGGAACUGCUAUUCUGCGGUCAAGAAGGAUUUUUUUCCUAGUUUGUUGCACAAUAGGAAGCGCUUCAGACUGUUUUUUUUUUAGUUUUUCCCGAAGUGAGGUUUCUUAAUCUGUGGAAUAUUCUGCUAAACGUGAAACCACAGGCAGGGCCUAGACAUUUGUGGGAUAACUCGUGCCAGAGCCUUCUCCACAGAAGCGGUGGCUCAAUGUCUGGAGUUCUGAUGUUCUGCGCCUAUAAGGGAUAGCAGCAGUCAAUGAGAAACGUGCAUGUAAGGAAACAAUAUAAUACUAGCUAAAGUAUACACUUUUACAAAAACAUUUUUUAACUGAGGCUCUAAACAAAACGCCACAGCUGGAAAACAACCUCUCUUGCUUUGGUGCUCAACAAGAGUUGAAUGGGUAAUUUAGGGCAUAACAUAAAUUUAAACAUCAAUAAAGGCAAUCCCCACCAGAGGGCUAGACAUCAAAGAAAUUACCACCAUUAGAAUCUCAUGAUUUAAUGGUAUUAAAAAAAGCACUUUAUUUAAAUCAUUUUUGAGUAUUGUAAAAAGAAACACAAAAGGUGAAAGGUGAAACAAAGAAAUAAACAUACAUUUGAAGUGAAAAUGUGUGUAAUUGUUUAAUUAAAAAAAAAAAAUUAUGGGCGAGGAGACAGAAAUGUAUAUCUGGCUAAUUCACAAAUGCAGUGCUAAACACGUCAUUGAUUCUAGUAUACAUGAUAUCGAAACAUUUCCCACAAAUUACUUGCAACUUUGUUAUGGUUGCAGUAUGGUGGGAUACGUUCUUCGCAACAGUAACUUAAAAAAAAACAAAAAACACUACAUUAAAUCUAAAUUGCCAUUGCUAAGAUAAUGUGUAAGAUAAUCAUCAAGUUGAAUAGCUUUAUUAAAAGGCUUGUUAAGAAAAGGUUGGUCAGAGUCAGGGCUGAGUAAAAAAUUAGAAAUCUACCUAGAAAAAUAAGAGACUUUAACAACAUGAAGCCUCCUAUUAUGUAAUAAAAUGAUUCCCUAUAAGAAAAACAAAGUGUAAAAAAACUAAAGCUUAACAGUUUGCGUCUGGUUAGUCUCCAUUAAGAUCACAUGUUUUAGCUCACUUGUGCUAUAUCUGAAAGAUUAGCCUGUUAAUCUUGACUUGGCCUUUGUCUGGCAAAUAUUUUACAGUCACUCACACUUUCCAUGUGUAACGACAGAAAGUAAAAAAAUAUACUUUUAGUAGAAUAAACUUUUGCUCAUAAAAGUUUAAAGGUGCAAUCUUGUUUUUUCAGAAAUGAAAGACUCGGUUUACACAUUUGUGAGAAGCUGUAGUGACCCAAGUUUUUGUGGAAAUGUUGGGAAGAUGACAUCGCCCAACAUCACCGUUUCCUUCACCACAUCGUGCUGUAACACAGAUUCCUGCAUUCCGCCAGCACCGAUUUUCCGUAAGUAUCUUGAUGGAGAUCUCAUUAGCAGAAAUUAACAUCAGUUUUGUGGCCAACACGUUCCAAACCAGAGGUAAAAAAAAGAGUAAAUUACAAAUAUGUGCUAUUAUUAAUGGUAAAUAUAGGAAUACAAUAUGCAUUAUAUAAACACACAUUCUAUUUGUUGUGUGCUAUUUCUGAUUUUUUUUUUCUGUUAUAUGUUUGAUUGAGUGCAAGGACUAACAAAAAAAAAUACCUUAAAACUUGAUGUUUCAAUUUGAGGAAGAUUGUCCCCCAGUGGUAACACAUGCUUUAAGUCACAUUCUAGAACUUGAAGGUUCUUUCCAGCAGAGCCCACAGUAGAGAUUCCAUCUGACUAUGUCUGUUCGUGUCUAGUGAAAUAUAAGAUCUCUAAAGCUUCUGAUAUUAGGCAAAAUAGCAAAUCCUUUACAAGGAUCACCCAUUUUUCUUCUUCUCCUUCCUCAGAAAGAUGUGAGAUACAGGAGCUACACCAAUAGAUUACAAAUAAUAAAAUAUUAAUAUAGUACUAUCAUCCUGGGAGUAAUCUGCACCUUUCUUAGUGUCCCUCAUCCCUUUACCUCCAAGCUUUUACCAGCAGCCACCUAUUCUGAUACAUACUCUCCAGUUACUACAAGGUCCUCCUGGCAUACAAGAUAUCUAUUGUGUCAUGUGCAUUACAAGAGCACUUACAUAAAAUUAUACAUUUCCACUGAUACUCACAGCAGUUCCAGCUGCCAAUUUUCAUGAUGUCCUUGGGUGGCUACCUUUAGGAGAUAAUUCCAUGAUAUAAGCCACAUUGUAUGGUUAUGUCCAGAGAAUUCUGCAGUGUCUUGCUACUGUUAUGUAAUAGAACCUUACUGUUUUGCUUUAUCCCACUACCUUCAGGUGAUAUAUAAUCACCAGAUUAUGUCCAACUAUUCCUUGGGUCACAACAUUAUGGCCAUUUACUACUAGUACUAAAGAUGAAACUGCCAUAGGUGUGUGAAGAACAUUUCAUUUAGAUGUGCACCAAGAAAUUAUUUCCCUUAAUUCUUUUAAUAUUAUGUAACGAAAAUAUUUAUUAAAAAGACACUCCCCUCCAGAAACUACAGUCUGCUGUCAUCUGUAUGGUGUCAGUAGAGCCCCUACGCUAGAGUUGUCCCCCGUCAGUUUAGAGCCCAUUCACCACUCACUUAAAUUAAUAUUUCAGUAAGUGGCCCCCUUUUAAUUCAGGCCUACCCAUUCAUCGGCUUUGGCACACCACAAACAACUAGCUUUUACUCAAGUUUAUUAAUUUCAUAAAGCUUUUGUCCCUGACCACCCUGAUAUAUUUAUAUAUUACACCAGUAUUUCUUUCUUUUUUUGUAUACAUUUGCUACAUAUUUGUAUACCUUCCUGAUUGUAUACAUCUUUAACUGAAAUAUUUAAUCUGUCAAUGCUUCCUACAGCUGAAAAUGAGAUCAUUUACAACCAUUCCUCCAUGAAACCGAAUCUGUGCCCUACAUGUUUAGCCACUGAUACUAAUUUGUGCGUAGAGAAAUAU
RNAcentral lists this long non-coding RNA (9543 nucleotides) under Pelobates cultripes (western spadefoot toad). Lineage: Eukaryota; Metazoa; Chordata; Amphibia; Anura; Pelobatidae. The record is from RNAcentral.